GAUGAACGCUGGCGGCGUGCCUAAUACAUGCAAGUCGAGCGAACAGAUGAGGAGCUUGCUCCUCUGACGUUAGCGGCGGACGGGUGAGUAACACGUGGAUAACCUACCUAUAAGACUGGGAUAACUUCGGGAAACCGGAGCUAAUACCGGAUAAUAUAUUGAACCGCAUGGUUCAAUAGUGAAAGACGGUUUUGCUGUCACUUAUAGAUGGAUCCGCGCCGCAUUAGCUAGUUGGUAAGGUAACGGCUUACCAAGGCAACGAUGCGUAGCCGACCUGAGAGGGUGAUCGGCCACACUGGAACUGGGACACGGUCCAGACUCCUACGGGAGGCAGCAGUAGGGAAUCUUCCGCAAUGGGCGAAAGCCUGACGGGGCAACGCCGCGUGAGUGAUGAAGGUCUUCGGAUCGUAAAACUCUGUUAUUAGGGAAGAACAAAUGUGUAAGUAACUAUGCACGUCUUGACGGUACCUAAUCAGAAAGCCACGGCUAACUACGUG
RNAcentral lists this ribosomal RNA (497 nucleotides) under uncultured bacterium. RNAcentral's name for it is "partial 16S ribosomal RNA". It matches the Rfam family "Bacterial small subunit ribosomal RNA", at positions 28 to 507 of the family's 1533-position model. The record is from RNAcentral.